Struthio camelus australis is the source of this 1912-nucleotide long non-coding RNA. The record is from Ensembl. NCBI's taxonomy places the organism in Eukaryota, Metazoa, Chordata, Aves, Struthioniformes, Struthionidae.
GUUGAAGAGUGGUAGUAAAACCUGUCUGUGGACACGGCGCACACACUGAGGCUUUUUUUUCGGAGUUACUUACUUUCCCGUACUGAAAGUGCUCUUUGUGCGAGUGAUGAACCCAUUCAUGUCCCAAAGUCUCGCACCUUCAAGGGAAACUUUCUAUGUGCAGAUUGACCGCUAUCACCAUUCGUGCUUUCAAAGAGUUUUGCUAAAAGAUGACCCUGCUAAUUCCCUAUUCCCUUCUAAAUGAGACUGAUGCAUGAACAGCAGAGAGGAGAACGUGCUUGUUCCAGCUGCUGUGGGACGCGAGAGGAGAACGUUUUCUGCUCCAGGCCUGUUCGCACCGGCUGCCUUCGUGCUGAGCGCGCGGGGCAGAGGGCCGCGGCGGGCGCAAGUACCGCAGCGCAACGGGACCCCGACACAACGUGCUGAGCUGUUACCUGACCUGGCUGCAGAGCUGCGCGCGAGAAGCGAAGCCCUGAAGGAAUCGUGGUCGGCUCUGCCCUGCGUGGCGGCGAGGAGCCGCCCAAAGGACGCGUGGGCUCGUCACACGGGUUGGCUUACCGCAUCCGUCGUCGUCUCGGCUAGGACGCGCGUGCCGGUGGAAGCUCGGGGGCCACCUGCAAUAGAAAAAGGCAUGAAAACACUCCACGGUCCCAGGUAUGGCUGUGUGUGAAGAAACACUCCUGCCGGCUUCCUGCUGUGUCUCAUGGAAAUGAGAGCAGGUUUCCCUCAAACCCACAUCGUGCCCCCCCUUGAACCAACGGCACGACUGCCACCGAGGUCGGUCCGUUCAGGGCCAAACCUUGUUUUGGCCGUGUUUAAUUUUGGCACGUAGGUGUGCGGCAGGAGGAAGCCCCUUCUCGUCCUCCUGCACCUCUCCUGCGGCCUGCGUGCGGGCACCUUUGCACGCAUGGGUAUAGGUCACGCCGUGUUGCAUACGUAUAAAUAUUUUAACCGCAUCUGCUGAUUUAUAGCCAAGACUCCUAAAACAAAAGUUACGUUUUUAAGAAUCUGUUGAAUCUCAGCCAAGCUAUAGAGAUUAAAACGGAUAAAGACUCUUAGGAAUGUAAACAGCAUACAGAAAUCCUAAUCCGUGUGGCACAAUUUUGUUCCAAAAAAUUAUUCUAGACUGAGAUGGUAAAUCACACUCAGCUUCUGCGUGUCCCUUGUCUGGGAACCCAUAUGUUUAUAUAUAUAUACACACACGCAUAUAUUUUUUUAUAUAUAUAUAUGUGCAUGCACGCACACACACACACACACACAUAUCCCAUAUAUAUUAAUUACCUUCUAUUAUGAAAGUUCCUCGCAGUGGUAACAUCUGCCUGAUUUUUGAGGCACUACAUAGGAGGUUAAUGUUUCCAUUAUGGCAGUUUUCAACGCCACCAGAUCAACUGGCCUGUCAGGUGGAAUAUCUGCAGCCGUCUGCGUUGGAAAGGCAAACUGCUAAAAAUAGAAGCCAUUUAGGAGAGUUCAGACACCUGGUUGUUCAUUUUUGGGACAUUUUUCUUAAGUAUUUUUGAUUUGUGUGAUUUUCUUUAACACUUGGUGAACUCCAUGCUGCAAACCCUUCUUUUACAGCAGUGCCGUUAAUUUCCCUGGGAAUGGGAAGAGACUCUGUCUUUAAUGUCCGUUGUAGGGGCAUUUUAACAUGUUUGUACCCGUAUUUUCAAACAAGAUACACACGUACCAAAAGCUUGUUUAAGAAAUAAGCUCGUAGAAAGGAGCCUUUUAUCACUUAAUUGUUUUACAUUGUUUGGCAUUUAAAGAAAGCUAUUUUGUGUAACUGGCUCUCUAACUUAGGAUUUUGUAACUAGCUGCAGUGGUUCUUAGGAGGGACUGGGAAGUCAGCUUUAAUAUAAUUUUAGUAUGUAUAAAACAUCUUGUUAUUUUUUAAAUAAAAUGUUUCAAAUAACCA